This is a long non-coding RNA of Asparagus officinalis (garden asparagus), 431 nucleotides long. RefSeq lists it as uncharacterized. The transcript has 3 exons. The record is from RefSeq and is a predicted model, not a curated record. NCBI's taxonomy places the organism in Eukaryota, Viridiplantae, Streptophyta, Magnoliopsida, Asparagales, Asparagaceae.
UUAUUUUUUUUAUGUAAUUCGUGUAUGUACAAUGAAGAAGCAUCCAUCAGGAAUAAUAACAAAGUUAUAGCUUGGUAAUCGAGGACCCAUUGAGGUUAUCGAGGGCAAUGGUGGGGGUGGGGAGGAGAAGGAGGUCUAUGGGUUGAUGAAGAGUUGGGGUGCGUGCCGAACUAGCACUUGCUUGGGUUUUUGGUUAGAGGGUUGAGGAGGUUGAGGGAUGAGGAGGGGGCGAAGAUGGUGGAGAGGGAUCAUGAGGAGCGAGGGAUGCCAAUGGGAAGUUGGGGAAGGUUGAAGAGGGGGAGGAGGAGAUGGGGGUGGUAGCUGUUUGAUGAAAUGCCCAAAUGAAUUCAUUUGAAGAUUUUGCAAUUGAUCUUAGUGUUGAUGAUAUUGAAGCACUUGAUGAUGAAGAUGAUCUUAUAGAGGCGUUGCUU